Molecule: Y RNA, 112 nt
Filed under: Macaca fascicularis (crab-eating macaque)
Lineage: Eukaryota; Metazoa; Chordata; Mammalia; Primates; Cercopithecidae
Description: Y RNA (ENSMFAG00000053692.1)
Rfam family: Y RNA
About the family: Y RNAs are components of the Ro ribonucleoprotein particle (Ro RNP), in association with Ro60 and La proteins. The Y RNAs and Ro60 and La proteins are well conserved, but the function of the Ro RNP is not known.
Source: Rfam by way of RNAcentral
GGCUGGUCUGAAGGCAGUGAGUUAUCGCAAUUGAUUGUUCACAGUCACCUACAGAUGGAACACCUCGUUCUACUCUUUCCCCCUUCUCACUGCUGCACUUGAAUUGUCUUUA